This is a long non-coding RNA of Pseudophryne corroboree (corroboree frog), 854 nucleotides long. RefSeq lists it as uncharacterized. Lineage: Eukaryota; Metazoa; Chordata; Amphibia; Anura; Myobatrachidae. The record is from RefSeq and is a predicted model, not a curated record. The transcript has 3 exons.
GCUCAGUGAAGGGAUGCAAAGCUGGGAGGCGCCAGGCAGGAGAAACACUCUCCCUGCUCUGCAUCCCUGCUGCUGCUGCGCCACCCUAUCCCCCCUGCAGCUGCCGGAUGUUGUGCCUGUCAUACUUUAUGACAGGCAGCGGCGCCGGCAGCAUGAAAAGCCUUCUCCCCCUCACCUAUGACAACGGUUGUCCCGAAAAGGUUGGCAGAGCUACAUGGGAUGGAGGGGCGAAGCUACAAGGGAUGGAGGAGAUGGAGGGGGCAGAGCUACGCGGAAACAGGCUGCUGUACAGAGGGAGAGUAAACAUUGGUGCCAGCCAGAUUUAGGAACCGCAGCAAAGGCCGCCGACCACUGCCAUCUCCUCCGUUGCACCACUGCCAUCCUCUGCCUCCUCCUCUGCUGCACUGCCGCCGCCCUCAGCCUUCUCUACUGCUCUGCCACCGCCCUCGGCCUCCUCUGCACCUCAGUUGACUCCCGCAGCCGCUUCCUCCGCAUCAUCUCCGACGUCCACAGCCUACUCCGUCCCAUGCCAACCACAGCCUCCUCAUCCACCGCACUGCAGACCACAACCUCCUCCGCACUGCUGCUGCUCAAUAGGACUCGGGAACUUUAUAUCAAACCAUAAAAAAUGGAAUAGAGGAGAAAAUGAUAGACAAGAAGAUACAGAAGAAGAAAAACGUACAAACGUUAGACAUUUCUCUCCAAUUGAAAACAUCAAUUAUCUACAGUAUUUAAGCAUCAACCACCUUUGCUUAUCAAUAUUUCCAGUGCUUUAUAAGAAAUAAACAUAAUAAAAGUGUAUCCCACAUUGUGAGGUUUCUGUCUCCACUAUAUUGUUUUGAUAUAUCAUUUCA